UACGGGGGGGGCAAGCGUUGUUCGGAAUUAUUGGGCGUAAAGAGCUCGUAGGCGGUUUGUUGCGUCGGCUGUGAAAUCCCGAGGCUCAACCUCGGGUCUGCAGUCGAUACGAGCAAACUAGAGUGUUGCAGGGGAGACUGGAAUUCCUGGUGUAGCGGUGAAAUGCGCAGAGAUCAGGCGGAACACCCGUGGCGAAGGCGGCCAGCUGGGCCGUCCCUGACGCUGAGGCGCGAAGGCGUGGGGAGCGAACGGG
This 253-nucleotide ribosomal RNA is filed under the name uncultured bacterium. RNAcentral describes it as "partial 16S ribosomal RNA". It matches the Rfam family "Bacterial small subunit ribosomal RNA", at positions 524 to 776 of the family's 1533-position model. The record is from RNAcentral.